Molecule: ribosomal RNA, 1267 nt
Filed under: Campylobacter coli
Lineage: Bacteria; Pseudomonadati; Campylobacterota; Epsilonproteobacteria; Campylobacterales; Campylobacteraceae
Description: partial 23S ribosomal RNA
Rfam family: Bacterial large subunit ribosomal RNA
Source: RNAcentral
UAAAUACUAAUACCAGAUCGAUAGUGCACAAGUACCGUGAGGGAAAGGUGAAAAGAACUGAGGUGAUCAGAGUGAAAUAGAACCUGAAACCAUUUGCUUACAAUCAUUCAGAGCCCUAUGUAGCAAUACAGGGUGAUGGACUGCCUUUUGCAUAAUGAGCCUGCGAGUUGUGGUGUCUGGCAAGGUUAAGCAAACGCGAAGCCGUAGCGAAAGCGAGUCUGAAUAGGGCGCUUAGUCAGAUGCUGCAGACCCGAAACGAAGUGAUCUAUCCAUGAGCAAGUUGAAGCUAGUGUAAGAACUAGUGGAGGACUGAACCCAUAGGCGUUGAAAAGCCCCGGGAUGACUUGUGGAUAGGGGUGAAAGGCCAAUCAAACUUCGUGAUAGCUGGUUCUCUCCGAAAUAUAUUUAGGUAUAGCGUUGUGUCGUAAUAUAAGGGGGUAGAGCACUGAAUGGGCUAGGGCAUACACCAAUGUACCAAACCCUAUCAAACUCCGAAUACCUUAUAUGUAAUCACAGCAGUCAGGCGGCGAGUGAUAAAAUCCGUCGUCAAGAGGGAAACAACCCAGACUACCAGCUAAGGUCCCUAAAUCUUACUUAAGUGGAAAACGAUGUGAAGUUACUUAAACAACCAGGAGGUUGGCUUAGAAGCAGCCAUCCUUUAAAGAAAGCGUAAUAGCUCACUGGUCUAGUGAUUUUGCGCGGAAAAUAUAACGGGGCUAAAGUAAGUACCGAAGCUGUAGACUUGCGCACAACUUAGAUUAUUUAAGUUUAGAAUAUGAGAAACUAAGUUAUAUGUUUAGUUAUAUUUUUACUGAUUUUUAUAGAGUAAAGAUAGAAAUAAAACUUAGUAAAAUCAGUAAAAAUAUUCUUAGACUAAAGUUAAGUAGUUUAAGUUGUGUGCAAGUGGUAGGAGAGCGUUCUAUUUGCGUCGAAGGUAUACCGGUAAGGAGUGCUGGAGCGAAUAGAAGUGAGCAUGCAGGCAUGAGUAGCGAUAAUUAAUGUGAGAAUCAUUAACGCCGUAAACCCAAGGUUUCCUACGCGAUGCUCGUCAUCGUAGGGUUAGUCGGGUCCUAAGUCGAGUCCGAAAGGGGUAGACGAUGGCAAAUUGGUUAAUAUUCCAAUACCAACAUUAGUGUGCGAUGGAAGGACGCUUAGGGCUAAGGGGGCUAGCGGAUGGAAGUGCUAGUCUAAGGUCGUAGGAGGUUAUACAGGCAAAUCCGUAUAACAAUACUCCGAGAACUGAAAGGCUUUUUGAAGUCUUCGGAUG